Long non-coding RNA from Oncorhynchus tshawytscha (Chinook salmon), 2600 nucleotides. RefSeq lists it as uncharacterized. The transcript is spliced from 2 exons. The record is from RefSeq and is a predicted model, not a curated record. Lineage: Eukaryota; Metazoa; Chordata; Actinopteri; Salmoniformes; Salmonidae.
UCCAGAACUAGACUUAAUCUGUGUCCAGAACUAGACUUAAUCUGUGUCCAGAACUAGACUUAAUCUGUGUCCAGAACUAGACUUAAUCUGUGUCCAGAACUAGACUUCAUCUGUGUCCAGAACUAGACUUCAUCUGUGUCCAGAACUAGACUUCAUCUGUGUCCAGAACUAGACUUCAUCUGUGUCCAGAACUAGACUUAAUCUGUGUCCAGAACUAGACAAUCUGUGUCCAGAACUAGACUUCAUCUGUGUCCAGAACUAGACUUCAUCUGUGUCCAGAACUAGACUUCAUCUGUGUCCAGAACUAGACUUCAUCUGUGUCCAGAACUAGACUUCAUCUGUGUCCAGAACUAGACUUCAUCUGUGUCCAGAACUAGACUUCAUCUGUGUCCAGAACUAGACUUCAUCUGUGUCCAGAACUAGACUUCAUCUCUAUCUGGAAAACCGUUUUAUAGCAAUUUAUCCAUCAGGUUAUGUUCUAGAGAAGUUUAUACAGAGUUAGUCUAAAGACUGUUGUUUCCUUUUAGCCAGUGAAAGCAUUCUACGGACGGUCGUUGUCGAGUCUGUAUCGUGUCUGUCUACACGAAGAUACAGGUGUCGAAAGGGAACUGGUAGGUGGAGGAAGGCAGUGAUGAUACAGGUGUCGAAAGGGAACUGGUAGGUGGAGGAAGGCAGUGAUGAUACAGGUGUCGAAAGGGAACUGGUAGGUGGAGGAAGGCAGUGAUGAUAUUACGGAGGUGCAGAGCUUGUAGUUUUUAUUUAACUAGAAACUAUAGAAAGGUAACUAGCUGGAGAACAACCUCAGAUACUCUUUCUUUCUACCACGUUUAAAAUAGCUGGACUUGAGGUAGCUCUGGUCCAGGGUGUUGUUUCUUCCACUAAGGAAUUAGUGGAGGAAUUAAUGCCCUGGACCAGAGCUCUGGUGCAGCAAGAGAGGUAGGGAGGUACCCAGUGAAUGUCCUUUUUUUUGUUGAUUGAUAAAAGGCAGAUGGUAUUGUAUGUUGAAAUGAGUUAGGAACACAAGCAGUCAAAUCUCCUUUUUUAGGAUAACUUCUGUGAUAGACUUGGGAGGCAUUAUUCCGUUCUUUUGAGAAUUUCAUAGUUUUCAUUUGUUCUGUUGUCACACUAAGGUAUUUUAAUGGCCAUGGAGUUAAAUCAAAAAUGGAGUGUAAAACACACAAUUCUGUAAGGUACGUUUUCCAUUGACGUGUUUCAAGGGGUCUAUAUUCAUGUUAAUAAAUGUACAAGUACUUUGUUGGUCCCCGAGAGAGAAAAAAAAACUUUUGUUAAUGAAGUUUUCCUGUACUAUCAAUAUGUAGUUCUAUUUGAUUUAGCAUACAUUGACAAUUGUCCAACCUAAUUCUGGCCUAAUUCAUAACCUCAAAUGUUGUUAAAGUCAAACAUACUUAAAGCAUUUAAUUGUUGUGUUAUUGACUUGUUAUUAGUCAGUGUUUGGCCAGUUCUACUGUUUGUCUGAUCCCUAGUUUUAACGACAGCAGGAAGUCAGGAAGGAAGGUGCUACAUUUGAUUCAUGUUUUGGUUGGCUUGCUGGGCUUGUAUAGUUACUACCAUGUGUUCUGGAUUAUAGUUAGUUUAGCGUUUUUUUGUUGUUGUUCAUUUAACAUAGGGAUGACGAUGACCUCGUAAAAUUAAUAUGCAGUGUAUAUCCUAAUAUCUAUAGUCUUUUUUUUUUUUUUUUUUUUUUUUAAGUUACGGAUUCCAUUCUAAUAUGUCGUUAAGGCUGAAGAGCUUGGAUCGGUCCCAAAUGGGAUCCUAUUCCCUAUGGGCCCUGGUCAAAAGUAGUGCACUUUUUUAAAGGGAAUCAAGGUGCCAUUUGGGACUCCUUCCACAUUUAGAAGAAGAUCUGUCGUGGUCUUGCUGUAUGUAGUGGGCCUUGUGAGUAUUGUGUUUUUAAUAGGUGACUACAGGAGAUCAGGAUGUGUAUAUUCUCUAAGUGUCUCGGUGUAGAGCUGAUUUAGGAUGAUUUUUUUUUUGGUGUGUGUGUGUCCCUUGUAAAUCGUAUGCAUAAGAGGGGAGAACUUCUCCUAGAUGAGCACUCCUACUUUAAGACGCUAGAUGCAUCCGGGCCCCUGUCCGUCCGUCAUCAGAAAGCCCCCCUCCCUUUCCCCCAUUACUGUCUUCACGUCAUGGUAUUAUCUUUCUGUCUCCGGAGUGAUAGGGGCCAGUGAGGUGUAAGUCCUGUCAUCUUCCCAUGUUGGACUGGAAUGAAUCACAAUGUUUAGGGCGCACCUCUAUCUCAUCCCUGUGAGUGUGUCUCCCAAAUGGCACUCUAUUCCUCAUAUAGUGCACUACUCUUGACCAGGACCCAUAGGGAAUAGGGUGCCAUUUUGAGAAGCAUCUCUGAUCUACGGGGGGGGGGCAGCAGCGCCUCUCUUAACGCCUUUCCCAGUUCAUCUCUCUGUGUUCAGGUGUGCUAACCAACCAAGGCCCCACUGGCCCCUGUCUGCUGUUCCAGUCGGUUGUUCUUCCUAUUUAUUGUGUAGCAGCAUGUCAUUGGAGCCCUUCCUGUUCCUGUGUGUUCUGCUUCUUGCUCCGGUUAUUAUUGUCUUGAUAACAAAUAAAGUUGAACAGAUGCAAAA